This 58-nucleotide transfer RNA is filed under the name Xanthomonas citri pv. citri. RNAcentral describes it as "tRNA-Lys". It matches the Rfam family "tRNA", at positions 9 to 63 of the family's 71-position model. From Rfam's summary of the family: Transfer RNA (tRNA) molecules are approximately 80 nucleotides in length. Their secondary structure includes four short double-helical elements and three loops (D, anti-codon, and T loops). The record is from RNAcentral. Lineage: Bacteria; Pseudomonadati; Pseudomonadota; Gammaproteobacteria; Lysobacterales; Lysobacteraceae.
AGCUCAGUUGGUAGAGCAUCUGACUUUUAAUCAGAGUGUCGAAGGUUCGAGUCCUUCA